AAUAUUAAAAGUGUACAGUUGGGUUUUGAUGUUGUAGUGCAUCAUCAUUCCCGUGGUGACCCAAAUUAAAAACACAAAGGAAGAAGAAGAGAAUAUAAAUUUGGAAGAAGAACGAUUCAGAAAAACGAAUAAAAACUCCUUUUGGAUUGUUUCCGCUUCAGCUUCAACUUUGAUCAUCCACACAGAUCACAGAGCGAAAGUCAGGAAAUGGGAAACGACAAAAGAACUAUGAAGGUUGAAAUUCCUGCUGAUGGCAAUUCUGCGGCAGAAGCAGGUGGCUCCGGCGGGCUAACCCGUCAGACAAGUAUGAAUAAGACCAAUUGCCUUUGCUCGCCAACCACUCACCCUGGUUCUUUCCGGUGUAGGAUGCACCGAAGUCUUUCACUGCCACGUACCAAGAGUAUCGAGGCUGCAUCUCUAUCGGAUCUUUCAUCCAAGCCAGUGGAUUACCCUGGAGCCGCUAAAUAGAUUCAUCCAUGAUACAUGGAUCAAGGGCGUUGCAAUUGCUUGUUGUAACUUGUAAUUUAAUCAAUAUGUGGAGCAUUAGGUUUUUUUCAACAAUAUGCAUUGUAACCUUGAGCUGGUCUUUUCUAAAAAAGAUGAAUAAAACUCAAGUUCCAUUCUCUUUGGGAAGAGAUUAAAAAA
Molecule: non-coding RNA, 645 nt
Organism: Camelina sativa (false flax)
Lineage: Eukaryota; Viridiplantae; Streptophyta; Magnoliopsida; Brassicales; Brassicaceae
Source: RefSeq, a predicted model, not a curated record